Molecule: ribosomal RNA, 300 nt
Filed under: uncultured Sphaerobacter sp.
Lineage: Bacteria; Pseudomonadati; Thermomicrobiota; Thermomicrobia; Sphaerobacterales; Sphaerobacteraceae
Description: bacterial SSU rRNA
Rfam family: Bacterial small subunit ribosomal RNA
Source: RNAcentral
GCUAACUACGUGCCAGCAGCCGCGGUAAUACGUAGGGGUCGAGCGUUGUCCGGAGUUACUGGGCGUAAAGCGCGUGCAGGUGGCUCAUUACGCCCGGCGUGAAAGCCCCCGGCUUAACCGGGGAGGGUCGUCGGGGACGGGUGAGCUUGAGGGUCGCAGGGGCUGGUGGAAUUCCCGGUGUAGUGGUGAAAUGCGUAGAGAUCGGGAGGAACACCCGUGGCGAAGGCGGCCAGCUGGGCGACACCUGACACUGAGACGCGAAGGCGUGGGGAGCGAACGGGAUUAGAUACCCCUGUAGUC